CCCUCCCAUGGGAGACAGUCCUUGAUGGACCUCUCUGGUCGAACCAUCCGACCACAAGGCGUUCCUGCAUCCAGACCCACAGCAGGAAGCAGAGGAGAGGAGCAGAGCAGUCCACUCCUGCAGUGCUACCAAAGCCAGGCUGAUCCCACAGCAGCUCCCAUAAAGGGCACCUCACAUGCACUCAAAGAUGUAAGAAGGCAGACUCUCCGAGAAUUCCCAGAUGGGGUAUGCACGACGUGUUGCUAUUAUGCUGCUUGAUGGAUUUCAGAAUGGUUCCACUUUGGAAAAGAGGACAAGUGAAGCUGGAGAUGAGCACCUUUGAGAUGCUAGCAAUUUAAAACACCAGCAAAAGAGAAGAGGAUAAAAAGAAGGUUUUGGAAUGCUGAAAAGUUGUAACCUUAUCCAGGUGCAGCACUCCAGCCCAGAGGUACAAGUUUCCAGGAAUAGAAACUAUAAGCAUCUUCCUGACUCACUAGGUCUUUGCAGAAAAUUUGUAUAUGACAUCCAAGAACAGAAUAACUCCAUCUCUUAAAUUUUGAUUUUUCCAAC
This is a long non-coding RNA of Pipra filicauda (Wire-tailed manakin), 549 nucleotides long. RefSeq lists it as uncharacterized. NCBI's taxonomy places the organism in Eukaryota, Metazoa, Chordata, Aves, Passeriformes, Pipridae. The transcript is spliced from 4 exons. The record is from RefSeq and is a predicted model, not a curated record.